Molecule: long non-coding RNA, 733 nt
Organism: Magallana angulata
Lineage: Eukaryota; Metazoa; Mollusca; Bivalvia; Ostreida; Ostreidae
Exons: 2
Source: RefSeq, a predicted model, not a curated record
UUAAUGGCGAUUUGCAUAGUAGUUUUAUCGUUCCUUUGUUUACUAUUCGUUUCAUUGAUAUGCGUAAUAAGAUUUACACUUAGAAUGAGUAUACAAGGAAAUACUGACCAAUGUAUAUAAAUAUUACUAUUUGGGAGACGAAACAAUCAUUGCAAUCGCUUGCUUGAAACACCUCGGAUCUUUGGUAACUCAGCAAAGUACAUCACCAACAAAGAUGAAAUCCUUUUGCUUCGCACUCUUGAUGGCCCUUGUCCUUGUCUCCGUUGUCCAAGGUCAAUGGGGUGGCUACUACGGGGGUGGUGGAAACUACUACGGUGGACUCGGACUGGGAGGUGGAUAUUACGGGGGCGGAUUGAUCGGUGGCGGACUUGGCGGAUGGAAUUCCGGAUUUGGUCGAUUCGGUGGCCGCGGACUUUUGGGCCUUGGUCGUAGAGGUCUCCGCAGAAGGGGAUAUUAUUAGUUUCCAAAUGAACUCAAAAUAAAUCAUCAAGUGCCACCCAUUAUAAACAUUUGAUCACCUAUCCUGAUAUUUUCAUUUGAGCAUUGAAUGUGAAUAUAUGUAUUUAGUAUCUUGUUAUUUUUUUUUAUACUUUUUUGUCUUUAAUUGCAUAAAAUGUCAUUGUGAUACUUUUAUGAAUGAUUCAGACAUUUUAUACAGUUGAGUUAUGAUUUCAAUAAAAACUACAAAAGUUUAUAUCUAUCUUUUAUAUUUGUAUUUAAUAAUUUUUCUAUC